AUUGAACGCUGGCGGCAUGCCUUACACAUGCAAGUCGAACGGCAGCACGGGAGCAAUCCUGGUGGCGAGUGGCGAACGGGUGAGUAAUAUAUCGGAACGUGCCCAGUCGUGGGGGAUAACGUAGCGAAAGCUACGCUAAUACCGCAUACGAUCUAUGGAUGAAAGCGGGGGAUCGCAAGACCUCGCGCGAUUGGAGCGGCCGAUAUCAGAUUAGGUAGUUGGUGAGGUAAAGGCUCACCAAGCCGACGAUCUGUAGCUGGUCUGAGAGGACGACCAGCCACACUGGAACUGGGACACGGUCCAGACUCCUACGGGAGGCAGCAGUGGGGAAUUUUGGACAAUGGGCGCAAGCCUGAUCCAGCAAUGCCGCGUGCAGGAUGAAGGCCUUCGGGUUGUAAACUGCUUUUGUACGGAACGAAACGGUGAGCUCUAAUACAGUUUGCUAAUGACGGUACCGGAAUAAGAAGCACCGGCUAACUACGUGCCAGCAGCCGCGGUAA
RNAcentral lists this ribosomal RNA (500 nucleotides) under uncultured bacterium. Its description in RNAcentral is "partial 16S ribosomal RNA". It matches the Rfam family "Bacterial small subunit ribosomal RNA", at positions 30 to 523 of the family's 1533-position model. The record is from RNAcentral.